This 2338-nucleotide unclassified non-coding RNA is filed under the name Leishmania donovani. RNAcentral describes it as "gene:unknown". Lineage: Eukaryota; Euglenozoa; Kinetoplastea; Trypanosomatida; Trypanosomatidae. The record is from RNAcentral.
AGCCGACAUACACAUUAUUAGUUGGCGAUACCCGUCGUCGGGGCGAGAGCGGAGCGCCCUCGUGCACACGGACACGUAGAGACGCAGUUGUUCUGCCUGCUUGUCUGUCUUCGCAUAACUGCACCAUCGUCAUCUCUGUUGUGGCCACCCCGCGCCCUCUCACUGGUCGGCCAUCAUCAUCAGCAUCACACACACACCCACACCUGUGUUUGCUUUGAUGUUGUGUGAUGCCUGCCGACAGACGCUUUUUCUUUUAAGGCCCUUUUCGCGUUGUGCCUGCGUGUGGCUCACAACCGAGGUUGCGCCUUAUGCUGCGAAUGUUCUUUGGCUCGUCUUUAAAGUUGCACAAGGGUGUGUGUGCCGCCGCUCGACCGCAUCACACGCUGCGACAUGAAGGAGAAUAACCGGCUGGAGUGAAUGGUGGCGGCGGCUCGUUGCCGAGGGCUGCUUCGCGCUGUCUGCUCUCGCAUGACCUCCUGUGACUCCUCGAGUAAUGCCCGAUGAGCUUAUCGACACAUCGACACACACUCGCUCUUCUUCUUUCAUCUAAUGCACGCCAUUGAGCGUGUGUGUGUGUGUUGUUGGUAUUCGCCAAGUCGCUUGUUCUUCGCCGCUCGUCUUCCCAAUGCCUUCACCUCGUCCCCCCCUGCCCCAGCUCACCCAGCACCUUGUGCGUUAUCCUCAUUGAGGUUUUCUCUGUCUCUAGCGUGCCACGCAAGUAGGUGUGGCAUUCUGCUAGUUGCUGGUGAUAUGUGUUUGUGCUUCAUCUUUAUUCUUUUUUGUUUAAGUGGAGGGGACGAGGUGGUGGCCGAAGUUGCGAGCCGUAGCUGUUUGCAUGCCGGCGGUCUCUCCCUUUCACCGCCUUCUUCAUCGCGCCUGCCGUUUGCGACGGAGCGGAUUGGUGGCUCGCCGUGAUACCGCGCAGCCGCAUCGCAGGCGCACAUGCGCACACAUCCACGCAUGCGCCCUCCCGUUUGAUUCGUGUUUUACUGCACCCUCCCUGAAGACGGCCGGACGCACGCCUCAGCGCGCGGCACCACGGGGUCCAGCACCCCUUCCACUCUGUGUGCGGAGGCCACGCAGCCCCCCUUAUCCCUGCCACUGCCGGCCGGCGUGUGGUGGGGACAGGGCCAGGCACCCGUGUCGUGGGGGAGGUGGAUGCAAUGAAUCACUGCUGAUGUCGGCGGCGACGUCGUGGACGGUGUUGCGUGGGCGAUACCUGCGACCGUGAGCACGCUUGCACGGCCCAUAUGAGGGGCAGAGUGGCAGCGUGACUCGAGCGUAUCCCACCCCUCGGCCAUGACUGCCUCCCGGUGGGGAGUCUGGGCCACGGCGAGAGAUGCGCCAGGUGGUGGCCAGCCCAAUGGGGGAGCGGCUGUGGGGCGACGUGCGAAGCGGUGAGGGGGGCGGGUGGGGGUUGAGGGGCCGAGCGCAUGCGGAGCCGACUGCGUCUGCGCAUUUGCUGCCGCGUGCGCGCGUGUGUGCGUGUGCGGCCGCUUCGCACCACGCGACGGUGCCUGUGACGGGGCCAUCGCCGGGGGAGGGGAGAGGGGGCGGAGAGUGGUGGAGUGGAGCUGCGGACAUGUUGUGUGGCAGAGAGGGGGGCUUGUGAACAACAUGUCUUUGCUUUUCUUGCCCUGCGUAGUUUUCUUCCGCUGUGCCUUGCCUCGCUGCUGCUACCCUGCUCGCACUGUUUUCUUUGUGUGUGAUGGCCUAGCCUCCGUAAGGUCGACGUGCUCGACGUUCGACUGCAUGCGUUGGUGUGCUUCAUCAGCUUUCACGGCGACAGCGGCGGAAACUGUCCUCUCUGUGAAUGUUGCGUUGCGUGGCUUUGUGUCUGGCCUCGCGUUGCGCGCGGUGGAGUGCCACACAUGCUUGCCAACACAGGAACGUCCCUCUCCCCCGAAAAAAAAAAAACGUAGUAAAACCCGGGAAAAGCGUACGCAGCAGCGUGCAUCGUAAGUGGAGAAUGCGGCCUGCGACUCACUCGGAGGCAUUUGGCGCCCCCCCCUCCCCCCGUUGCACCAGCGCAGGGAGAUCCGGGAGUUGCUCUACACGUGCGCGCUUGGCAGCUGUGGCGGGUGCGUGCGGUAUAGUCUCUCUUCGACGCGGGGUUCUCACAGACGAUGGCAGCCACCGCAUCGGGGCGAUGCAGGGGCCAGCUUACGCCUGAGCAACUGCCCAGGAAUGUCGAGAGUGCGUAGGGAGAGACGGGGCGAAAGAGCGAAACGAACGAGUUGUGCCGCCGCGUCCGUUCCACCACGAACACGUCAGAAGCUCUACACGCGUGCGCAACCACGGCCUCCCUACCUCUGCUGCUCACUGCGGCUAUGUCCAG